UUCUGUUUUGCUUUUCUUUUACAGUAUUCAAUGGUGUAUUCUUUGACCUCAAUUUUGAAUAAGUCCCAAUGGUGUCCAAUAUUUUUGGUAAGUUUUGGAUUGUUUUUAUAUUUAUGAAUUAGGCCAUUUAUUAUGUUUUUAUAUUCAAUAUUAUCCAAAAUGCUGUUAUUAAUUUUAAAAUAUCCUUUCCCUUUUGAUUGUGAUCUCCCUUUCAACUUUAGUGAUAUAGCUUGGUGGUCUGUGUGAGAUAUAAGUGCAGGUCUUAUAU
Molecule: long non-coding RNA, 268 nt
Filed under: Mytilus galloprovincialis (Mediterranean mussel)
Lineage: Eukaryota; Metazoa; Mollusca; Bivalvia; Mytilida; Mytilidae
Source: RNAcentral